Molecule: ribosomal RNA, 147 nt
Filed under: uncultured Desulfocapsa sp.
Lineage: Bacteria; Pseudomonadati; Thermodesulfobacteriota; Desulfobulbia; Desulfobulbales; Desulfocapsaceae
Description: partial 16S ribosomal RNA
Rfam family: Bacterial small subunit ribosomal RNA
Source: RNAcentral
CAAAGGGCAGCGACACAGCGAUGUGAAAGCCGAAAUCCCGAAAAGCCGGUCUCAGUCCGGAUUGGAGUCUGCAACUCGACUCCAUGAAGUUGGAAUCGCUAGUAAUCGCGGAUCAGCACGCCGCGGUCGAAUACGUUCCCGGGCCUU